CAGCUAAGUACUCAAUUGGUUUGUUCAUUUCCUGUUAAGUGCCGACAAUGAAUAAUGAAAUAAGCAUGUAGAAGACUUAUGGUAAAUAUGUUUGGACAGGAGUUCGACUCUCCUCAGGUCCACUU
RNAcentral lists this transfer-messenger RNA (125 nucleotides) under Hydrotalea flava. RNAcentral describes it as "partial transfer-messenger RNA". It matches the Rfam family "transfer-messenger RNA", at positions 236 to 374 of the family's 374-position model. From Rfam's summary of the family: Bacterial tmRNA, also known as 10Sa RNA or SsrA, is named for its dual tRNA and mRNA-like properties. Its role is to liberate the mRNA from a stalled ribosome. Lineage: Bacteria; Pseudomonadati; Bacteroidota; Chitinophagia; Chitinophagales; Chitinophagaceae. The record is from RNAcentral.